Molecule: unclassified non-coding RNA, 108 nt
Organism: Cercocebus atys (sooty mangabey)
Lineage: Eukaryota; Metazoa; Chordata; Mammalia; Primates; Cercopithecidae
Rfam family: Y RNA
About the family: Y RNAs are components of the Ro ribonucleoprotein particle (Ro RNP), in association with Ro60 and La proteins.
Source: Ensembl
GGCUGGUCUGAAGGUAGUGAGUUACCUCAAUUCAUUGUCCAGUCAGUUACAGAUCGAACUUGUUCUACUCUUUCCCUCCUUUUCACUACUGCACUUGACUAGUCUAAA